CAGAGUUGCAAAACUCCCACCCUUUGUGAACGAACUUGCUAGUUGCCUCGGCGGGGAGCUCUUCAGGGAGCCGACCGCCGGUGGACUACCAAACUCUUUUAAUUAUCAUUCUGAUUACUUAUUCAAUAAGUUA
RNAcentral lists this unclassified non-coding RNA (133 nucleotides) under uncultured Ascomycota. RNAcentral describes it as "sequence contains ITS1". Lineage: Eukaryota; Fungi; Ascomycota. The record is from RNAcentral.